This 890-nucleotide ribosomal RNA is filed under the name Sphaerulina salicicola. RNAcentral's name for it is "partial large subunit ribosomal RNA". It matches the Rfam family "Eukaryotic large subunit ribosomal RNA", at positions 49 to 968 of the family's 3401-position model. The record is from RNAcentral. Lineage: Eukaryota; Fungi; Ascomycota; Dothideomycetes; Mycosphaerellales; Mycosphaerellaceae.
AGCGGAGGAAAAGAAACCAACAGGGAUUGCCCUAGUAACGGCGAGUGAAGCGGCAACAGCUCAAAUUUGAAAUCUGGCGCAAGCCCGAGUUGUAAUUUGUAGAGGAUGCUUCUGGGUAGCGACCGGUCUAAGUUCCUUGGAACAGGACGUCAUAGAGGGUGAGAAUCCCGUAUGUGACCGGCCCGCACCCUUGACGUAGCUCCUUCGACGAGUCGAGUUGUUUGGGAAUGCAGCUCUAAAUGGGAGGUAAAUUUCUUCUAAAGCUAAAUACCGGCCAGAGACCGAUAGCGCACAAGUAGAGUGAUCGAAAGAUGAAAAGUACUUUGGAAAGAGAGUUAAACAGCACGUGAAAUUGUUGAAAGGGAAGCGCCUACAAUCAGACUUCGCGGCAGUGUUCCGCCGGCCUUCUGGCCGGUUCAUUCUCUGUCGCGAGGCCAUCAUCGUCUCGGCCCGCUGGAUAAGACCUUGGGAAUGUAGCUCACCUUCGGGGGAGUGUUAUAGCCCUGGGUGAUGCAGCGCGGCUGGGGCGAGGUCCGCGCUUCGGCAAGGAUGAUGGCGUAAUGGUUGUCGGCGGCCCGUCUUGAAACACGGACCAAGGAGUCUAACAUCUAUGCGAGUGUUCGGGUGUCAAACCCCUACGCGUAAUGAAAGUGAACGGAGGUGGGAACCGCAAGGUGCACCAUCGACCGAUCCUGAUGUCCUCGGAUGGAUUUGAGUAAGAGCAUAGCUGUUGGGACCCGAAAGAUGGUGAACUAUGCCUGAAUAGGGUGAAGCCAGAGGAAACUCUGGUGGAGGCUCGCAGCGGUUCUGACGUGCAAAUCGAUCGUCAAAUUUGGGUAUAGGGGCGAAAGACUAAUCGAACCAUCUAGUAGCUGGUUCCUGCCGAAGUU